GUCACUUUCAGGCCUUUUGGCUGAAAUCAAGUAUAUUAUCUGUUCUUAUCAGCUUAAUAUCUGAUAUGUCCUCAAUGAAAGAACUUUAUAUUAAACAGAUUUUUGGGCUCAAUUCUGUGCUGUGGGCUGGGCACCAGGAACUGCUGCUGGCAGCUCCACAGCACAACCAAA
RNAcentral lists this small nuclear RNA (171 nucleotides) under Pavo cristatus (Indian peafowl). Its description in RNAcentral is "U2 spliceosomal RNA (ENSPSTG00000006248.1)". It matches the Rfam family "U2 spliceosomal RNA". From Rfam's summary of the family: U2 is a small nuclear RNA (snRNA) component of the spliceosome (involved in pre-mRNA splicing). Complementary binding between U2 snRNA (in an area lying towards the 5' end but 3' to hairpin I) and the branchpoint sequence (BPS) of the intron results the bulging out of an unpaired adenosine, on the BPS, which initiates a nucleophilic attack at the intronic 5' splice site, thus starting the first of two transesterification reactions that mediate splicing. Lineage: Eukaryota; Metazoa; Chordata; Aves; Galliformes; Phasianidae. The record is from Rfam by way of RNAcentral.